UACGGGAGGCAGCAGUGGGGAAUAUUGGGCAAUGGAGGAAACUCUGACCCAGCAACGCCGCGUGGAGGAAGAAGGUUUUCGGAUCGUAAACUCCUGUCCUUGGAGACGAGUAGAAGACGGUAUCCAAGGAGGAAGCCCCGGCUAACUACGUGCCAGCAGCCGCGGUAAUACGUAGGGGCAAGCGUUGUCCGGAAUAAUUGGGCGUAAAGGGCGCGUAGGCGGCUCGGUAAGUCUGGAGUGAAAGUCCUGCUUUUAAGGUGGGAAUUGCUUUGGAUACUGUCGGGCUUGAGUGCAGGAGAGGUUAGUGGAAUUCCCAGUGUAGCGGUGAAAUGCGUAGAGAUUGGGAGGAACACCAGUGGCGAAGGCGACUAACUGGACUGUAACUGACGCUGAGGCGCGAAAGUGUGGGGAGCAAACAGGAUUAGAUACCCUGGUAGUCCACACUGUAAACGAUGAAUGCUAGGUGUAGGGGGUAUCGACCCCUUCUGUGCCGCAGUCAACACAAUAAGCAUUCCGCCUGGGGAGUACGGCCGCA
This 535-nucleotide ribosomal RNA is filed under the name uncultured bacterium. Its description in RNAcentral is "bacterial SSU rRNA". It matches the Rfam family "Bacterial small subunit ribosomal RNA", at positions 340 to 890 of the family's 1533-position model. The record is from RNAcentral.